Molecule: ribosomal RNA, 282 nt
Filed under: Triticum aestivum (bread wheat)
Lineage: Eukaryota; Viridiplantae; Streptophyta; Magnoliopsida; Poales; Poaceae
Description: partial small subunit ribosomal RNA
Source: RNAcentral
AUGCGAGUCCUUGGACUCGCCGCCAUCGAGAGGGCGCGUAAGAGACAGGCCUCGCACGUCACCUGGCUACGCGCGAGCGACGCCAGGAUGGCGUUCUUCCAGGCAAAAAUCAACUCACGGCACCAAAAAAACUUCAUCCAUGCCCUUCACACCAGAGACUCCAUCGUCACCUCCCACGGCGACAAGGAGCGGAUCAUUCAUGAGCAUUUCCAAUCCUCGCUGGGCACAAAACUGCCUCGCAGCCGAACCAUCAACUGGGAGGCCAUUCACCUACUGUCCGUG